ACGGAGACUGGAACCUUCGUGGACGCAUGUACUCAUUGCACUUUCCGGCACGAAGCAAGGAGAAGCGGAGGUGGGCAGCGUGGGGCAUGACCUUCUCCGCGGGACCCACGCCGGGACCCCCCCGCCGACCUCUCUCUCUCUCUCUCUCCCUGUCACGGUGAUCGGUCCGUGCCGCGACCUCUUCUUCCUUUGAUCCCUCAAGACGCUGUCGUCGUCGUCGUCGCCGCCGUGGUUUGCGCUGGAAACGGCAAGGUUUUAUUGCUCGGGAAGAAGCCGUUUUGAUCUGUUCACGAGUGGUUGUACGUGCCACGAGUGUGGGUCCCACCUGCCGUUUUGGACUCGAGCGGACUUGAUCGAGCUGAGAUCGGGUCGAGCUUGAUUCAGUUACCAGACGUAUCAAGAAAGGGUGAGAGGUGCCGGGGCGACCGCGGACGAUGAGGACGUUUCCGGCGAGUAGGGCUUCCAGGAGCGCGAGGAGGAUGGGCGGAGUGCUGGUGGGAGCAGCGGAAUGAACGGAUCCAAGUUCCUUUUGGAGUUCAAGUUCGUGCAAAGAGUCCACAAGGGAAUAUGCGAGGAUACAUCAACUCAAAGAAGUAAUAGCUCUCAUAUAAGCAACAGGGAAGCCAUUUGUUUAGAGAAUCAGGAAAUAAAGGGGAUGAUGAGGGACCUCAUCACUACCUUAAUAUAAAAUGCUGGUCAUUCUUUGGGCUCACAAAAUCUGUGCCUCCUCUUCAAACAUCCAGCUAAACCACGUAAAUGCAGCAGCAUGUGGAUUUCCAGCUCCGCGUUUGAUCCUGACAUAGAUCUUGAUGUUUCAUUUAUCUGAUUCUUCCAGAUCGAUGAUGCUAGGAUUUGACAGAGAAGGGAGCAUGCAGAUUCCGUUCCACGUGAAGUGGGUCCUGAAUGGAAUCCAUCGGAGUGGUUGAUUGAGAUGGAGGAGUUAUUAGAGACCCUCAAACAAGGUUCAAUAAGUUUUCCUCGUCUUUGUCCUGGUGAAGCCCACCACUUCUUCCGAGAGGAAAACACCAAACCAUGUCUCGAUCAAGAUGGGUAAGUUGAGCCACACAGCCAGUGAAAGGACAUGAAUGCUAAUUUGGUUGGGUGCAAUUAGCAUGACCAUGGACGGUUGAUAAGGGGUGUUGAAGCUGCUGCUGCUGAGCCAUUGCACCAUGUGAAUUCCAUGGCACAAAAGGGACGGAAACUCGCUGUCAAAUCUCAUCAAUUUAAGAUGGUGACAUGUGUUUGAUGAUCAUGUACAGGUGGGUGGAGGAUGGGAAGAUUCUGGAAACCACAAGGGACAGAAGUCAGUGGAGAUGUGCACUGUGGAUAACGUUGUCUCUGGGUUAUCACACAAUUGAUUGUGCCUUGCUUUCUCCAAAAGCCAAACAGUGCUUCAGAAGUCAAAGGUGAAAGUCAUACAGUAACUCCACUGUCAUAUAGCUUGUCUUUUGAUAUAUAUGCUUGUAUGGUUUAUUUAAGAAUGAUAUUCUCUUCUUUUUCCUCGGUCCUCUACCAUGAGUUUCUGGUCUAUACAGGUUUAUUUUAUUAAUCUACUUGUUUCUAACAUGGAAAAUUAAUUACCAACUGGAAACUGUUAUUAGGCUGAAAGUUUGAUUCU
Musa acuminata AAA Group (dessert banana) is the source of this 1618-nucleotide long non-coding RNA. RefSeq lists it as uncharacterized. The record is from RefSeq and is a predicted model, not a curated record. The transcript is spliced from 6 exons. NCBI's taxonomy places the organism in Eukaryota, Viridiplantae, Streptophyta, Magnoliopsida, Zingiberales, Musaceae.